UAGCUCAGUCAGUUGAGCAUAGCACUAACACCGCUAAGGUCGCGGGUUCGAUUCCUGU
Molecule: transfer RNA, 58 nt
Filed under: Apaloderma vittatum (bar-tailed trogon)
Lineage: Eukaryota; Metazoa; Chordata; Aves; Trogoniformes; Trogonidae
Rfam family: tRNA
About the family: Transfer RNA (tRNA) molecules are approximately 80 nucleotides in length. Their secondary structure includes four short double-helical elements and three loops (D, anti-codon, and T loops).
Source: Rfam by way of RNAcentral